CCCUUAGAUGUUCUGGGCCGCACGCGUGCUACACUGAGUAAUUCAAUGGGUAAGGGAACGCUAGAGCAUUACCUAAUCUUGAAAUUUGCUCGUGAUGGGGAUCGACGGUUGCAAUUUUCCGUCGUGAACGAGGAAUACCUUGUAGGCGCAUGUCAUCAUCAUGCGCCGAAUACGUCCCUGCCCUUUGUACACACCGCCCGUCGCUCCUACCGAUUGAGUGAUCCGGUGAGGCUCUGGGACCUGGACGGAAAGAGCGUUUCGCUUGUUCUGUUUGGGAAAUUUGGUCGAACCUUAUCAUUUAGAGGAAGGAGAAGUCGUAACA
This 322-nucleotide ribosomal RNA is filed under the name uncultured eukaryote. Its description in RNAcentral is "partial 18S ribosomal RNA". It matches the Rfam family "Eukaryotic small subunit ribosomal RNA", at positions 1470 to 1796 of the family's 1831-position model. The record is from RNAcentral.